UACGUAGGGUGCGAGCGUUAAUCGGAAUUACUGGGCGUAAAGCGUGCGCAGGCGGUUUUGUAAGCCAGAUGUGAAAUCCCCGGGCUUAACCUGGGAAUGGCAUUUGGGACUGCAAGGCUGGAGUACGGCAGAGGAGACUGGAAUUCCUGGUGUAGCAGUGAAAUGCGUAGAGAUCAGGAGGAAUACCGAUGGCGAAGGCAGGUCUCUGGGCUGAUACUGACGCUCAUGCACGAAAGCGUGGGGAGCAAA
This 249-nucleotide ribosomal RNA is filed under the name uncultured bacterium. Its description in RNAcentral is "partial 16S ribosomal RNA". It matches the Rfam family "Bacterial small subunit ribosomal RNA", at positions 524 to 772 of the family's 1533-position model. The record is from RNAcentral.